CUGACUCUUCGCGACCCCAUGGACUGCAGCCUACCAGGCUCCUCCGCCCAAGGGAUUUUCCAGCACAUUUGGAUUUUGUGCUUCAUGAUGCUGCCAAAUGGGGGUCUACUGACUGGGAGAGAAACAGGAAUCUGGAGUCACUGAGCUGGUCAGUCAAGGGAACUGGAGGAAGAGAGGUGGAAAAAUGGCGAACACUGUGGCGCACCGCCCCACCCCUGCAGCCAUGUUUUCCCAUAGGUUUUACGUGAUUUACCCUGGGAGGAAAAGCUGAGUUCCUGGAGCUGUUAUCCUGCACAGGAAAUGAGAGAAACACAAGGCAGAAGGGGUGACUGGGCCUUCAUACAUUUGCUUACAAUCUGGCUCCAGUCCAGGGUGAAACUGGAAGAGCUGGAGAUUUUCCCAAGGCACCCAGGUUGGAGUGCAGUUCAUUCUGGAACCAGGCUCAGGUCUGGGGGAUGGGCAGUAGGUGGUUAUCAGUAUGCAGCAGGGCUGGAUCAAGGUUGUGGAGGUUUCCUGUGCUGAACUAUGCUGUAAUCCUUUCCCUUUAUGUGUUGCAAAAUAAAACGAUAUUAAAUUGCAAAA
Molecule: long non-coding RNA, 582 nt
Organism: Bubalus bubalis (water buffalo)
Lineage: Eukaryota; Metazoa; Chordata; Mammalia; Artiodactyla; Bovidae
Exons: 3
Source: RefSeq, a predicted model, not a curated record